CAAUCUCACAUGAUCUCACAUCCUGAUAUCAUGACCUGAGCAGAAAUCGGGAAUUGGAUACUUAACCGACUGAGCCACCCAGGCACCCUCUCAGAUUUUAUUCUAUAAGGAAUCAUUUGGGAGAGGUGGUAAAAAUAAAUGAGAACAUGUUUGUCAUUAAAAGCAAAAGACUGAACUAUUGCAGUUACUUUCUAAAAUCACUUUUUUUUCUAUAGGAAGAUUUUGGAUAAAUCAUUAUCAAGGAAGCUAAGGACACCUGGGUUGUAUUGAAAGCACACCAGCCAUGAAAUCAGAAGGCCAGAAUUUGAAUUCCAGUUACUCACAAAUGAUUUAUUCCUCAUAUGAGAGGAAGUAUUAACUCAGAAGGAACUCUUCACACCACCUACCGUGAUUCUGGGCACAUAUCAUACCACCAGUGUUUGCUAACUGAUGGACAGAUUGAUCAUAAGCACACAUUCCAUCACCUCUUAUUGAGUGGUGUUUUUCAAAAAGUGCUGGGAGGAUCCUUUGCGCCAGAAUCUUCUUGGGUGUUUUCUAAAAUGCAUGUGCUUGACCCCCACCACGCACUGGCUAUUUCAGAAUUUCUGAGAGUGUAACUGUGGCAGCUGCCUUGUAGUGGAUAGAUGAUGGCCACAAACUGGCAUUUCUGCCAUCAAGAGACGGGGUCUAUUUCUCCCCUCCUUGAAAUUGGCCCAUGGCUGCUGUGAACAAUGAGCUGAACCUCUGCCAGUUCCAGGCCCAACCUUGGUCUCUGGAAGGCCUGGACUAUGUGGAGGGACCCUAAGACUACGUGAAGAGGGGAAAGAGCCUGCUGAGCCAGCUCUCCACUCAUCCCCUCCAAUUUGCCCAGAAUGUGGGUGAAGCUCUUCAGGACCCUCCGGAUGAGACCAGACACCAGCUGAAAACCAAUGGAUGACCCCAGGUGAUCACCUAGAGCAGAAGAAUCAACCAGUUGAUCCUUCCCAGAGUUCCUAACCCACAAAAAUGAAAUGGAAUAAGUUGGCUGUUGCUUUAAAUCGCUGAGUUUUGUGAUAACUUGUCACAUGGUGAUAGAGAAUAAGAAUAUGCAGAUGUCACACAUUCUCCAGGUUUUUCUGAUGUAUCCUAGAAUUUGAGUCACUGUUGUAAAGGGAUCUGAGAUUUAAUGAGUAAAAUUUUAUAUUAAAGAUGAGAAAAUAUAAUUCACUUCACAAUUUGUUAUUUAUAUAUCCUAAGGGAAGAAUAUAUGGCAAAAUAAAAUCUCAUCAUUUAUGUUGAACUCA
Molecule: long non-coding RNA, 1262 nt
Filed under: Neogale vison (American mink)
Lineage: Eukaryota; Metazoa; Chordata; Mammalia; Carnivora; Mustelidae
Description: Neovison vison (American mink) lncRNA (ENSNVIG00000008135.1)
Source: RNAcentral